AUUGAACGCUGGCGGCAGGCCUAACACAUGCAAGUCGAACGAGUGGCGGACGGGUGAGUAAUGUCUGGGAAACUGCCCGAUGGAGGGGGAUAACUACUGGAAACGGUAGCUAAUACCGCAUACCAUCGGAUGUGCCCAGAUGGGAUUCGAUAGUAGGUGGGGUAAUGGCUCACCUAGGCGACGAUCACUAGUUGGUCUGAGAGGAUGAACAGCCACAUUGGAACUGAGAUACGGUCCAGACUCCUACGGGAGGCAGCAGUGGGGAAUAUUGCACAAUGGGCGCAAGCCUGAUGCAGCCAUGCCGCGUGUAUGAAGAAGGCCUUCGGGUUGUAAAGUACUUUCAGCGAGGAGGCGUUACUCGCAGAAGAAGCACCGGCUAACUCCGUGCCAGCCGCCGCGGUAAUUC
RNAcentral lists this ribosomal RNA (406 nucleotides) under uncultured bacterium. RNAcentral's name for it is "partial 16S ribosomal RNA". It matches the Rfam family "Bacterial small subunit ribosomal RNA", at positions 30 to 526 of the family's 1533-position model. The record is from RNAcentral.